Molecule: ribosomal RNA, 506 nt
Filed under: Salmonella enterica subsp. enterica serovar Newport
Lineage: Bacteria; Pseudomonadati; Pseudomonadota; Gammaproteobacteria; Enterobacterales; Enterobacteriaceae
Also listed under: 1 other name
Description: bacterial LSU rRNA
Rfam family: Bacterial large subunit ribosomal RNA
Source: RNAcentral
CAGCUAAGGUCCCAAAGUCAUGGUUAAGUGGGAAACGAUGUGGGAAGGCCCAGACAGCCAGGAUGUUGGCUUAGAAGCAGCCAUCAUUUAAAGAAAGCGUAAUAGCUCACUGGUCGAGUCGGCCUGCGCGGAAGAUGUAACGGGGCUAAACCAUGCACCGAAGCUGCGGCAGCGACACUGUGUGUUGUUGGGUAGGGGAGCGUUCUGUAAGCCUGUGAAGGUGUGUCGUGAGGCAUGCUGGAGGUAUCAGAAGUGCGAAUGCUGACAUAAGUAACGAUAAAGCGGGUGAAAAGCCCGCUCGCCGGAAGACCAAGGGUUCCUGUCCAACGCUAAUCGGGGCAGGGUGAGUCGACCCCUAAGGCGAGGCCGAAAGGCGUAGUCGAUGGGAAACGGGUUAAUAUUCCCGUACUUGGUGUUACUGCGAAGGGGGGACGGAGAAGGCUAUGUUGGCCGGGCGACGGUUGUCCCGGUUUAAGCGUGUAGGUGUGUGUUCCAGGUAAAUCCGG